CGGCCCGCUCGUCCGCCCCCCCCGCCACCAGGGCAGCCUCGGAGGGACCUGCUGCCCCUCCACAUCCCCUCUCCCCUUGGCAAGCGCUGGCCCAGCCCCCCGUCCUCCUGCCCUGGCCUCGCUUGCGCUCUUGUCUGAACUCCCUCAGCCCCCCUGGCCCUGGGGGGAGCUCCACAAAGCCCUGGCUGGGGUGGCCGGGGGGGCGCUGGUCCUGCUUUGAGCAGGGGUCGGCGUGGGCUUCUCAACCCACAAGUGAGUCGCGAGAAUAUAGGAAAGGAACCAACCUGAAACAUGGAUUCUCCUUUAACGAAGAAAAAGAGCUCUCAUGUUUAAGCUGAGCGGGCUUGCUCUACAGCACUGUGGACCCCACUGUUGGCAAAGGACACAUCCCCUCUUCAACUUCUUGUUUAUGUCUGGACCAGCAGUUGCCAGUGAUGACUGCCUGCCCCCUUACAACAGUUAGAGAAACACUUGAGCAUCCUCACAAUAAGAAGCAAGCAGCUACCCUGAGGUAAUGGAGAGGACUGUUAGAGUUGGGUAAAAUCCUGCCUGCCUACUCCACCUAGAACUACCGUCACACAAGAGUACCUGCAGCUGCUUUAUAUAACUAGUCCACUUGAAUCAGCACUGCUAACCUGGCUACCAGGGACAGGUUAUAUGCCCAGAGUGCAUAAGGCCUGGUUGAACACUCACGGGGCCAUCCAGCACAGCAAGCACUCAGCUUUCCUAAAAAUAUCCCCAAAUGCAGAUACACACAAACCAGUAGAAUCACCUUCCUCCAAGCACGGGAUCCACAGUUAUUACUCUGAAAACCUUCCUGUUUGCUGAUUCCUGGCCCCCGCAGAUGCAGAAACAUUGGCAUAUAGCUAAGCCUUGCAUGCUGUAUACAGGUGAGUAGACAGGUGUUUGGACUCUGCCAUGCUCACAUGGUCCCUUCCUAUUACAGCCAUUGCAUAAAGAGCAAAAGACACAGCACAGCCAUCCCAUGAGCCGAGCUGAGGGGGCAGCAGGGAAGUAGAGACCAGGGUAACUCCCAGAGGAGGGUUCUUCAGGGUGCUGUAGUUAGAGUGGGGGGGGGGGGUCCAUGGUGGCUCCAAGCUUUACUGAGUAGCACCUAUUAGAGCCACAUGUGCACCUUGUGCCUCUUCAUGUUCCUGUAUCAGGGCAUGGAGGGCAGGAAAGCUGUGACCUCCUUCAGUGCUGUCACAGCCUGAUGUCUGUGACCACAGGACUCUGAGAAGGUGAACAGUGGGAAAGGACAGGGACUUCCAAGAUGGAAACUUGUAAAAGAGAUGGUGAAGCUGAUCUGAACAGUGGGGAGAGAUGGACAGCAGUGGCAUGGGCACCCUCAGCACAGCUUCACUGCCUCCUUCCCAGGUUUGGCAUCUGGUACCCCUGGGAGCAGCAGGGGAGCAGUGUAGACAUACUACAGUACAUCCCCCUGUGCCUUGCAGAACUGAGCUGAGAAUAUCUAUUAUUUUUGUAACAAUUCUGUUUUUUCUUUGCCCAGGGCUCCAGCCAUUAGUGCAACCAGCCUUAAAAGGGUUUCCCCACAAUCACACAUCUGCUGGAAUAUCUGAUUUUUUUUCCAUUUCUGCUGUUCUGGCCAUCGACCAAAUGGCAUCUUUUGCCUUUGUCGGGGUUGCUACUCCUGGGGCACUUUUGUAGAGAGCCAACACAUGCAUUCCUGAGGUUCAUAGUAUAGUCCAUGAGCUCUUGAGGGAAGGGAACAUUUUAGUUGUCCUCUGGCCAGUGAGCUUCAUUCCCUGAAAAGGCAGAAUAUUAGCUGUGGUCUGCAUAUUGCAUGGUAUGUGCAAAGUCUGGAACCACUGCUGUGAACUCAGGUUCUACCCCGACAAAGGCAUGGGAGUCAGCAUGAAAUAUCUCACCUGACUAUCCAGGAGGCAGCCAACUGACAUUAUUCUCACAUAUUUUUUAAGGAACACCCAUUAAAUGCAAAUGCAAAGAUCAGGGGAUAAUAGGAAAGUAGGGCUGGGAUCAACCUCCUGAUGUCAUCUAGUCCAGCCCCCUGCUCAAACAGGAUCAUCCCUGACUAAACCAUCCCGAAUCAAGUAUCUGCCUAAUCUGCUCUAGCAUAUUCCAGGUAUGGAGAUUCUACAAUUUAUCUAAGUAAUCUGUUCUUGAAUGAUCAGUCACCCCCAUAGUCAGCAAGUUCCUCCUAAUCUCCAACCAAAAUUUCUUCUGCUUGAGUCCAUUGCUCCUACUCCGGUCCCCUACAGCCACAGAGAAAAUCCUAUCUUCAUCCUCUCUAUAAUUGCCCUUCAGGUACUUGAAGAUUUAUCAGAUUCCCUGCACAAGUGAGUUUGCUGCAUUCUCUCUUGUCAUAUAAUACAUGAGAUACUGCAUUUACUCAUAUGCCACAUAUACAGGCCUUGUUUUCGGAAGAGGCAAGGGUUUCUUAAGGUGAUAUCUUUUAUCGGACCAACUACGUAGUUAGUAUAAAUUUAGACAAGCUUUCAAAUGCAAGAUAUUCUUCAUCAGGUCUCUAAUCCAUUUUGGAAGGCAGAAUGCAGAAAAAAAGAUUUUUUUUCCAGAGCCAUGGCUUAGAACUGGCCUUUUCAUAGAGACACUGGGUUGCAAAAUGGUAGCCAGUUUCUCUCAGACAGCAAAUUGACUGCAGCUGUGAAAGGGUUAACACUGGGCUCUUCCCCUUCUGCUUGCUGUCCCACAGAGAAGGUGGCAGCCAAUUUGCAACAAAGUGUCUCUAUGCUUCUAUUCUAAUGAAGGAAAUCCACUCUGCUGCUUAAAAGAUACCCUCCCAGUUUGGAAGGCUAACUUUAGGGGGGAAAGAUGCACUGUGGCAUGUGAGUAAAUAUGGUAAUGGCACUGAGAGAGGGCUAUGCAGUCCCAGCCUUUAUGCCUGUGUAGGCACAGGGUACAUGUACGGCCCUGACAAACAUAUAGUUCAUGGGGCUUAGGUAUAUGUGUACCUUCCUUAGAACCAACUGGUUAUUACCUGAUUAUUCUUUCCCCUUCCCAUUUUCUUUAUGACAGCAUGGGAAAGGAAGAGCUGCACAGUUCUUGACUCAUUUGGAUUAAAGGCAUUUUUUGUUUCCUU
Molecule: long non-coding RNA, 3079 nt
Organism: Alligator mississippiensis (American alligator)
Lineage: Eukaryota; Metazoa; Chordata; Crocodylia; Alligatoridae
Exons: 4
Source: RefSeq, a predicted model, not a curated record